UCUGCCCCUAGAGCAUUGCAGGUGUGACUGCUGUGUGACAUAUACAUUAAUAUGUGGUAGAGAGAAGAAAGGCUAUAUGUAUUUUCAGUGUACUGAUCUAUGAAAAUCUGAAUGAUUAGUAGCCUAGUAUU
This is a small nucleolar RNA of Apodemus sylvaticus (European woodmouse), 131 nucleotides long. RefSeq annotates it as small nucleolar RNA SNORA17. Lineage: Eukaryota; Metazoa; Chordata; Mammalia; Rodentia; Muridae. The record is from RefSeq and is a predicted model, not a curated record. The transcript has a single exon.